CAGUCGCCGCGGUAAUACGGAGGGUGCAAGCGUUAAUCGGAAUUACUGGGCGUAAAGCGUGCGUAGGCGGUUCGUUAAGACAGAUGUGAAAUCCCGGGGCUUAACCUGGGAACUGCAUUUGUGACUGGCGAGCUAGAGUAUGGCAGAGGGGGGUAGAAUUCCACGUGUAGCAGUGAAAUGCGUAGAGAUGUGGAGGAAUACCGAUGGCGAAGGCAGCCCCCUGGGCCAAUACUGACGCUCAUGCACGAAAGCGUGGGGAGCAAACAGGAUUAGAUACCCCUGUAGUCCCUGUCUCUUAUAC
RNAcentral lists this ribosomal RNA (301 nucleotides) under uncultured bacterium. RNAcentral's name for it is "partial 16S ribosomal RNA". It matches the Rfam family "Bacterial small subunit ribosomal RNA", at positions 509 to 807 of the family's 1533-position model. The record is from RNAcentral.